UAGUUGCGGGGCAGGGGAAGGGAGACAACUUUCAUAGCAGGGGAGAGGAUGCCAGAGGCGUGCGAGAAAGUACCAGCUUGAAACCCCGGAGCCAGCAAGCCAACGCUGUUUUGGUUUGAGUGGGGGUGCUGGUGUGUGUGGAUGCGAUGUAGGGCGACAAAGGGACGAGCUCUCGGCCCGGACCAGGUCUGUGUGGAGCACAUUGCCCCCGGAUAGGUCCAUGUUUCUCCCAUCUGGAUGCUGCGUAGAAACACAAGGAGAGUAGACCGUCAAGUGCCCUUGUGGACGGGGGAACGAGGUAUCUGGGGAAUAGGAAGUUAUUUGCACGAUGCUGGCCCGGGCCUGGAGUAAUUCCAUUCUUAUCAAGAGAAGUGGUAAUUUGGGGUGGAGAGAGGGUACUGGGGGCCAAUUCACGAUGAGGGCUUCGGUAGACCAUUUCUCAUUCUGUCCCCGGAACAACCCUACGAAACUGUCAUUCUUAACCAUAAAAGCCGCUUUACAGGUGUGAAAACAUUGGCCGAGAGUCGUGCCAGGAUCUGAACCUGGGCCGGGCCCUACGGAGCAGGAGUCCGUACCCAUGGUGGCCUUCCCAGUAACGGGAGGGGGGUUUGGGGUGGUUGUUGUUGUUGUUGUUGUUGUUGUUUGGGUUGUUGUUGUUGUUGUUAUUGUUUUGAAAGUGAAUGGUCUUAAUUAUCUGCACUGUUCAGUGGCCAGGUUACAAAUUGGCCAGUUAGGGCUGUCUGGCUCCCAGGAGUGUUUGCUUUUGGUUCAGGGUAUUGACUUGCAAAAUGUCUUCUGAAGACUUGAAGUGGUUACCAACAUUUAAAACUUGAGAGACUACAUUAAAAUCCCCGAUCUCUGGCGUCCUUUGUAAAAGGCGAAGCUCUGACAACCGGGGCUCCGUUUCCGAGCAGAGCAGAGCUGGCUGGAAGUGUGGGAGCCUCUCCCGCUUGGACCUGGGGCGGGAGCUCCCAUCCGCCACGCUCCCCCCUGUUGCGUUUCCCAUUUACAUUACGUGGCCCCAGUAGGCGUUUGAGCUUGUUUAUUUACCUGAGAUCACCCGAUCAACGCAAAGCUGAAAGUAUUUAGUUAUUCAUGGCUUGGUCCUACAGAAGUAUAGACAAUGCUAUCAUCGUGGAACCAGACUCCUCCUGAGUUUAAACAACGUAGUUUUGAGUGUGGUAAACACUCAGAGGGUUAAGAGGGGGCCGCACUGAGGAGUUAUCCCCCCGACCUGGGAAGCGCCGCAGAGGUGGGGCCUCCAAAUCUUUUGUCACAGCGCAGAGCCACGGGGACUCUCCCAGGGCUCAUUUUGACUGUCUUAAUACUUAAGGGACACCAUUAACUUUCUGACUGGAUGAAUUAGGAAACUUCUGGCCACAUCGUGCGCCCUGAAAUGCAGGGAAUACAUUCAUCGAAAGAAAAGCCAGUCCUACGGUUGUUUACCUACAGAGAGGGUGCCAAUCUCGUCCUGGAACAUUAUCAUUACAAAAGGUUGUUGGCCACGUGACCCCUACUAGCUACUGUGCUGGGCUCUGGGAGACAGUGCUCCCUACCCCCGUGGAGGUUAUGCUGAGGACCAACACCUCGCAAAGCCAAUGUGCAUGAGAACCACCCAAGUCUCUGGUGAAAAUGCACAUCUGAUGGUGAAAAUCUACCUGAGCUCCACAAACUCUGGUGAUGCCCGCGUGCCUGUCCCCCGGACCUCGCUUUGAGUAGCAAAGGCUAGAGGGUGAUACAGCGGGAUGCGCAGGAACGUUUCUCCACGGCCAUCAAACACGUCCAUUCACCGUCAUGGUCACUAAGCUUCCGUGCAUCCCUGCUUUCGAUCCGAGCCCAAAGCCUCCCCAGCCAGCACCAACAAAUGAAGCGGAGUGCAAUGGUCACAGGUGAGGACUCUUUCCUUGUUGCUGAACCUUGGACCUACGACUAAUACUCCAGUAUGUGCUGAACAGAACUGGGUAAACAAAACACUCUCUGCUGCUUGGAACCUUCCUGAAAAGGCUGUGAUGAAUUCCUUGAAAGGGAAGGGCGACUUCAUCAACUCCUGUAAUUCUAGGAAAGCGUGGUGGAGCGUCUAUGCAGCUAUGGCAGGAGAACCUGUAUGUCUUCCCUUUGGUUGUCUGUCUCCCCCACCAUUGUUUCCGUGGCACUGAAGGGCGACCCGUCUUAUCUCAAGAUGAGGUUAAGUCAAGGGAAGGAAGAUGAGCACAGAGGGGUGGGAGGGAAUGGGGACAAACAGGCAGAGGUGGUCUGGCCGGAGUGCGUAGGGGCCACGGGAUGGUGUUGACACGGAAGGACCUUCUUGGAACACUCUGAAAAUCUCUACCUGUACCUAAGGCGACUUGGGUGACAGGCGUCUUCGUUCCUUUAUGCAGGGCUUCUGAUAGAAGAACGUCAUGGCGUAGUCUGAGUUAUAACCCACGGUGAGGAUAAAGUCAUAAAAGGAGCUCUCCAGCUGCGCGUGUAGGGAGAACACUGGCCUCGCUUAGUGAUGCUGGCCUGACCCUGAAUUGUUCCAUAGCCGGGGCAACAGGGUCGGGGGAAGCAACUGGGACUCCACAAGUGGUAGGGGAAGGAGCGGAUUGUGACAGUCUGUAUCGCUGAUGGUAAAAGAGCUCCUUUUUUUGGUCUGGCAGCCUAGGGUAUAAUCAGGAGAAUUUAGGUCUGUUACACUUUCCUCAGUGUAAGAGGCAACCACCCACUAACCCAUUUCUGACAGUUCUUAAUCUGUGAAGCUUUAUGCAAUUUAACUCGUGCAGGCGAUCUUCUGUAAUUUCAGGCUCUCAAUGAUGUUUCGUUUUCUUCUUUAACCCGAACUCCUACUCCAAACGCUCAUUUCUUUUUCGGACAACCACAUGAGGUCAUAAUAACUGUGUUUACUAAUAGUUUCCUUACUCAUUGGCAACUAUGAAGCCAUCUAAUCACUUUACAAAUAACACAUGACCAGGGUGUUUAUCUGCCUUAUCACACUUGUAUGGUUUUUAAAUUGAGUGUUUUCCCUAGAACUUCUUAGAAAUCAAACAUUCGGUUUGGAAUUUCUUCCACCUACUGACAUACUUAUUUUUAACUUUUGCCUUGGCCUUUGUUCAGAUGUGUCAUGAAGGCAGUAAGUCUUGGCUGGAAAAGUAGUCUUUCCCUCCCGCCCCCCCCCACCCCCCAGCAGGGAGGGAGUAAUCCUAUCUGUCAUGCAAAUUUUGUUUGCCAGAGGGUCGGUCCUGUAGGAAAACACUUCCCAUACCACUGAAGGUGAAUACCGAAGACCACGGUGCCCAAACUUCCCACGGCCUUGGUUCAUUGUCCUUGUGUUAAGGAUCUCAGCAGGUGCGGGAGUCUUUGGAAUAGGCAGAAAUACUCCUGGCUUUGUGUUGGUUGCCUCCAGCUGGUUGGGACUUUCUACGGUGAACUUCCAUUCAGGGAUCUCCAUUUUGGAUGUCUCUUCCUUCCCCCCAAGGAGGUCUGAAACUUUUUGAAGGAGAGUGCCAAGGGUUGGUACUGGGAAGGGGAUGCUUCACUGGGUGGUGCAUCCUUUUACAAGGAGAAAAGGAGGCUCUUCCUGGGUAUAUUUGGAGGCGGCGAGGGUGAUGAUCCACCAGCUGAGGAGACGUGAACAGAAUCUGCAAUAACCACUGUGCUUAUAGCCAGAGAGCCCUGCUCCUGACGCUGAUUACACAAGCCCAGCUCCGGGUGAAUGUGCCCCCCCCCCCCCCCCCCGGGACUAGAGGAACUCUAGGCUUCUUUACAAAUGUCAGAUGUCUGUCGGCACCCCGGAGAUAACUGGAACAGGCCCCCUUGCCCUGUCUCUGUUUCACUAAUUACUGGUUCUUUAGAAUGUUGUCCCUGCGUGAGCCAGACCUGGAGGUAUUGUUUAUCAACCAAUUUGAUCUAUUUAGAACAGAGACUCGUCUCUUUCUGCCUUGAUUUAUAGCCCUAUAAGUUCAACUGACAGAUUUCCUGCUACCGACUGAAACUUCUUGCAGAGGGGAUCCAGUACCCAGCGCUGCACCUGGGAAAGAGAAGGUAUUCAAUGUUUAUUGAACGGAGACAGUGAAAUGUGGUUAUAGUGACGGAAACAUCAUGAGGCAGUAGAACAUAUGGUCAAACAGAGCUGACACAGUCUCUCUAGUUCUUGUAUAAUUGUUACCAUCUAUUGAUCUCCAGCGAGACGUCCUAGGAGAGACAACAUAUUUCUAGUCAAAGCCACCACCUUGCAAAAAUAGUCGUAAAAUCCUCUUUUAAUACAGGAAAAAGACAGAUGCUCAGAGACAUUAGGCAACUUGCCUGAAACCACACAGCUGAGUGAGUGGCUAGAGCAAGUGGGUUCCUUUGCCUCCAAGGGCCCUGGGAACUCCCCCUGCAUUGAGCCACCGCUCUGCGCCAUCUCCCUGCUGGAGAUGUACCGAGUGAGACGGGAGCUACGACUGCACAUCAGGCCAAGUAAAUCAGGUGGUGCUGGAAAGUACUGAAGAGUGGGCCCUCCGUCUCCCUAAAAGGUUGCUGUGCGGUCCUACGAGGCUGGUGCAGAGCAAAGGCCUUGGCUGGCCGUCUUCCUGGAGCAUGGCGGCUGCGUUGGGGUCAGAUCAGAGCCUUGGCACCACGUUGAAGGGGGAGUCACACGGGCCACCAGCCAUUCGCACUGCCUGCCUCUCGCCUCGGAGCUCCCAAACUCCUACUCAAGAGAAUAAUCAAGUAUCCGUGUUAAGUGGGUAAAAAUCAACCUGCAUUUCCUCGCUGAAACUCAAAGCCAGUCCUUCUGAGACAGGAAAAAUACCGAUAGAAAUGUGUUUGAUGGGGCGCCUGGGUGGCUCAGUCAGUUAAGCCUCCGACUUCGGCUCAGGUCAUGAUCUCACAUUUCGUGGGUUCGAGCCCCGCGUCGAGCUCUGUGCUGACAGCUCAGAACCUGGAGCCUGCUUCGGAUUCUAUGUCUCCCUCUCUGUCUCUCUGCCCUUCCCCUGCUCACGCUAUGUCUCUCUCUCUCUCUCAAAAAUAAACAUUAAAAAAAUUAAAAAAAGAAAAAAAGAAAUUGUUUGAGACAGCCAGUUCCCUCCCCCAGCUCUGCCUCAAUCUCACUUCCCCUCAAAGACAGCAGGAUGAUCGAAAGGUUGUGGUUAGACCCCAUGACAGGCCUCGAUCUUCCACCAGUGAAUCACUGGGAGGAGUGGUGGUCUUUGCUCUGCCCCUAGAAUGAUCUCUCACUCUUGCCCUUCUCUGCUAGAGUCCAGAGUGCCCGAGUGCUCUCCUGUCUUAUCUUCAAAUCCCCAGACCUGACCAGUGGUGUCACUCCUGCACCAGAGCAUGUGUUUAACCUGGGAAAAGCCUCUUCUUCUAGGAAGAAGUGUUUCUUGUCCCCUUCUGUGCCGUCACAGGCACCAGAUGAGUUAUAGGAACUGAUAACAAUGUCUAUAGCUUCCUUUAGAAACUCUACCAUGACAAUCCGACCACAGUCUAUUAGCCACGUUACCUGUCUCUUCUUGUCUAUAGCUGCUUCGCUGCUGGAGAAGCAGGGCUGUUGGACAAGCAGCAGCUAAGGUGAGAAGGGAGAUGGGUAACCGGGUGGCUUUAGUCCCUUGCAGUCAUGCAGAGCACUGCAGCGGUCAAUCAGGUGAGCUCAGAGCCAAGGGUUUAGGCUGCGGUUCAACCAUGACCUAGUCCCAUAAACUCGGACAGGGUACUUAAUCCUAAUUUCUUUUGUCUCCAAAGCCAGAAUAAUAGCAGUACCCACCUCACUGGGUACCUGUAUGUAUUAAAUGAGAUCAUGACAUAAAGCGUUUAGUCCGUACUAAGUGCUCAGUAGCUCCUGGUAUUAUUAUUAUUACAGGGAGUACUGGAAAAAGUCUUGUCCCGUAAAGGCUAGAACUUGCCCCUAACUCCUAACCCAUCGACAUCUUCCAUCCAUUUCUUUGCUCUGACUCCGCUAGGGUAAAAGAUCUCAUAAAGUCUUGUCCUGUAAAGGCUAGAACUUGCCCCUAACUCCUAACCCAUCGACAUCUUCCAUCCAUUUCUUUGCUCUGACUCCGCUAGGGUAAAAGAUCUCAUAAAGGAAUCCGCCAAGGUCUCACAGUUGAGGGUGGGCUGUAUAUCUAUAUCUAUAUAUCUAUAUCCAUAUCUAUAUCUAUAUCUAUAUCUAUAUCUAUAUCUAUAUCUAUCUAUCCAAAAUGUUUAUUUACUUCUGAGGUGGGUAGGGCCGAGGGGAGAAGGGAAACACAGGAUUCAGAGCAUGCUCUGUGGCUCAAACUCACGAACCCUGAGAUCAUGACCUGAGCUGAACUGGGAAGCUUAGCUGACCGAGCCACCCAGGCACCCUGAGGCUGGGCUUUAUUAAUUUGCUACGGCUGCCAUAACCAAGUACCAUACACUGGAUGGCUUAAAAUAACAGAAAUUUGUUGUCUCACCGUUCUAGGGGCUGGAAGUCUGGGAUCGAGGUAUCGCAGGGUUGAUUCCUUCUAAGGGCUGUGGGGAGAUUCUGUUCAUGCCUCUGCCCUAGCUUCUGGUGAUUUGCUGGCCAUCUUUGGCCUUCUUAGAUUCUAGAAGCAUCACCCCAGUCUCUUCAUCUUCCCAUGGCGCUGCUCUCUGUGUAUGUCUGCCUAUAGGACCAAAUUACCCCUUUGUAUAAGGACACAAGUCACAUUGGAUUAGGGCCCACCCUAAUGACCUCAUCUGUGGAGACCCCAGUCAUUUAACCUGAGUUAAUUUAAACUUGUUGCUAUUCAGAUGCCUAAUAUCUUGGCUUUUCCGGUCUCCAGAAUCAGCUCUAAUAUUUUUUGUUUGUUUGCUUUUUGAUAGCAAAAACUUCCGAGGAACAGAGGCACCCGCAAAAUAAAUACGAAUUAAGGAUUCCCCGGGGAAUUGUUUUUUUUCCCCUGUGCUUUAGAAAGUUUGGAUUCUUUAUUUCUGUGACAGGGCUGCAUUCUAGCAACUCAGUGACGUAUCAUAUUGUCUCUACUGUAGUGCGGUAAACGGCUGGAAAAGACAGAGAAAAAUAAAAAACCUAUCAAAAGAGAGAGAGAGAGAGAGGGGCGCCUGGGCGGCUCGGUUGGUUAGGCAUCCGACUUCAGCUCAGGUCAUGAUCUCACAGUUCGUGGGUUCGAGCCCCGCAUCGGGUUCUGUGCUGACAGCUCAGAGCCUGGAGCCUGCUUCAGAUUCUGUGUCUCCCUCUCUCUCUGACCAUCCCCCACUCACAAUCUGUCUCUCUCUCUCUCUCUCUCAAAAAUCAAUAAACAUUAAAAAAAUUUUUUUAAAAAGAGAGAGAGGGAAAUGGUUACAUUAGAAGUCCACCAAAUGCCUAAUUCAUACAAGCACUUGUGUGUGUCUUUUAUUUUGAGACUAGAAUCCAAAAUCACGACCUGUAUCAAGAUUUCACAUUAUGGCCAGCCACCUGGAGUUUUUUUUUCCUUUUUUUUUUUUAAACUUUUUAUUUUGGAGUAAUUAGAGAUCCAUAGGAAGUCGCAAAGAUAGUCCUGAGAAAUUCCCUAUGUCCUUCAAGCACUUUACCUCAGUGCUGGCACGUUAUGUAUCACCCACUGCUUUUUAAAGACGAUUGUCCUGGGCAACAAUAAUAUACUGGGAUUAUUUGCUGGAAAAUCUGAGCUGACUCAUCCACCCAAGCCCUGCCUUUAAAGGAACCCGGAACCACGGUGCCCCUGGCACCUUCCGCGGUCUCCAGACACAGACAUGCAGCUCUGCGCUGCAUGAGUUUCCUGAUCUGAUUUAUCUGGCUCUUUUCCAGGCGGGGAUUUCCACCAUCCAGUGUGGGAGGCCGCAGCCCACUUGGAUGAGACAGAAGGGGAAAUUUCCAAGGGGGGACAGUGUCAGCCCUUGCCUCGAGGACACCGAGGAUUUGCGAUUGGGAGGCUCGUGCGUCCUCUUGGUUUCAUUCUGCUCAUUUUCAUCGGUGGGCACCCGGAAGAAGGUGCCGUGGGGGCUUUGGAGAGGUGGGUGCUUCUGUCCAGCUGGCAGACGAAGGGGCCGAAGAAAUGAGUUACAGGUAAACUGGUGAGGGGGACGGCGGCUUCUCGGAGCUUCGGGAGGUGUCAGAGGCAUCCAAAGGAGGAGGACUGACUUUUGCCUGGAGCCCGCCUUGGAAGCAGGGAGUACCCGGGGUGGGGGGAAGGUACGAGAGGCAAGGGAGUCAGGAGGAGGGCAAACACCCCAAUUCUAGCCAAAAGCCCAUUUGGCUGUUCUGCUGCUGUCUUUCCAAUUAUAAAAAUAAGGAUUCUCAAGAGUUUAAAGAAAUACAGAAAGAUAUAAAAAGACAAUAAACCCACCUGUAACCCUACCACCCAGUAGUUUAAAAAACGAAACAGACCAACAACAAAUGUGGCAUCUUUCUUGUAGGAGAAAUGCAUGUUAUAAGAAAAGUGUUGGGGCACUUGGGCGGCUCAGUGGGUUGAGCGUCCUACUCUUGAUUUCGGCUCAGGCCAUGAUCCCGGGGUCAUGGGACUGAGCCCUGCUCCAGCUCUGUGCUGAGCGUGGAGCCUGCUUAAGAUUCUCUCUGUCCCUCUGCCCCUCUCCCCUGCUCACGUGCACUCUCUCUCUCUCUCUCUC
Molecule: long non-coding RNA, 8544 nt
Organism: Neofelis nebulosa (Clouded leopard)
Lineage: Eukaryota; Metazoa; Chordata; Mammalia; Carnivora; Felidae
Exons: 3
Source: RefSeq, a predicted model, not a curated record